GAAUCUUGCGCAAUGGGCGAAAGCCUGACGCAGCCAUGCCGCGUGAAUGAUGAAGGUCUUAGGAUUGUAAAGUUCUUUCGCCCGUGACGAUGAUGACGGUAACGGCGGAAGAAGCCCCGGCUAACCUCGAGCCAGCAGCCGCGGUAUUACGAAGGGGGCUAGCGUUGUUCGGAAUUACUGGGCGUAAAGCGCGCGUAGGCGGUUUUGCAAGCCAGAGGUGAAAUGCCUGAGCUCAACUUAGGAAUUGCCUUUGGGACUGCGAGGCUUUGAGGACUGGAGAGGUGAGUGGAAUUCCCAGUGUAGAGGUGAAAUUCGUAGAUAUUGGGAAGAACACCAGUGGCGAAGGCGGCUCACUGGCCAGUUUCUGACGCUGCAGCGCGAAAGCGUGGGGAUCAAACAGG
RNAcentral lists this ribosomal RNA (401 nucleotides) under uncultured bacterium. RNAcentral describes it as "bacterial SSU rRNA". It matches the Rfam family "Bacterial small subunit ribosomal RNA", at positions 359 to 776 of the family's 1533-position model. The record is from RNAcentral.